RNAcentral lists this ribosomal RNA (255 nucleotides) under uncultured bacterium. Its description in RNAcentral is "partial 16S ribosomal RNA". It matches the Rfam family "Bacterial small subunit ribosomal RNA", at positions 524 to 776 of the family's 1533-position model. The record is from RNAcentral.
UACGAAGGGGGCUAGCGUUGUUCGGAAUUACUGGGCGUAAAGGGCGCGUAGGCGGCGUGUCAAGUCAGGCGUGAAAGCCCCGGGCUCAACCUGGGAACCGCGCUUGAGACUGGCAUGCUCGAGUUCGGGAGAGGAUGGUGGAAUUCCCAGUGUAGAGGUGAAAUUCGUAGAUAUUGGGGAAGAACACCGAUGGCGAAGGCAGCCAUCUGGACCGACACUGACGCUGAGGCGCGAAAGCGGUGGGGAGCAAACAGG